UAAUGGGUCAGCGACUUAUAUUCUGUAGCAAGGUUAACCGAAUAGGGGAGCCGAAGGGAAACCGAGUCUUAACUGGGCGUUAAGUUGCAGGGUAUAGACCCGAAACCCGGUGAUCUAGCCAUGGGCAGGUUGAAGGUUGGGUAACACUAACUGGAGGACCGAACCGACUAAUGUUGAAAAAUUAGCGGAUGACUUGUGGCUGGGGGUGAAAGGCCAAUCAAACCGGGAGAUAGCUGGUUCUCCCCGAAAGCUAUUUAGGUAGCGCCUCGUGAAUUCAUCUCCGGGGGUAGAGCACUGUUUCGGCAAGGGGGUCAUCCCGACUUACCAACCCGAUGCAAACUGCGAAUACCGGAGAAUGUUAUCACGGGAGACACACGGCGGGUGCUAACGUCCGUCGUGAAGAGGGAAACAACCCAGACCGCCAGCUAAGGUCCCAAAGUCAUGGUUAAGUGGGAAACGAUGUGGGAAGGCCCAGACAGCCAGGAUGUUGGCUUAGAAGCAGCCAUCAUUUAAAGAAAGCGUAAUAGCUCACUG
Molecule: ribosomal RNA, 534 nt
Filed under: Escherichia coli
Lineage: Bacteria; Pseudomonadati; Pseudomonadota; Gammaproteobacteria; Enterobacterales; Enterobacteriaceae
Description: partial 23S ribosomal RNA
Rfam family: Bacterial large subunit ribosomal RNA
Source: RNAcentral